CCCUUAGACGUUCUGGGCCGCACGCGCGCUACACUGACCAGUGCAACAAGCAUCCGUCCUUGGCCGACAGGCUCGGGCAAUCUUUGAACGCUGGUCGUGAUGGGGAUAGACUUUUGCAAUUUUUGGUCUUCAACGAGGAAUUCCUAGUAAACGCAAGUCAUCAACUUGCAUUGAUUACGUCCCUGCCCUUUGUACACACCGCCCGUCGCACCUACCGAUUGAAUGGUCCGGUGAAGCCUCCGGAUUGGCGCGCACCUCGGUGCCGCCGAGAAGUUGGCUAAAUCUUACCAUUUAGAGGAAGGUGAANUCGUANCA
Molecule: ribosomal RNA, 315 nt
Filed under: uncultured eukaryote
Lineage: Eukaryota
Description: partial 18S ribosomal RNA
Rfam family: Eukaryotic small subunit ribosomal RNA
Source: RNAcentral